Paramuricea clavata is the source of this 327-nucleotide non-coding RNA. The record is from the annotation of a GenBank genome assembly. Lineage: Eukaryota; Metazoa; Cnidaria; Anthozoa; Malacalcyonacea; Plexauridae.
ACAAAGAGAAUUCACAACAAUAGGCUAAAUAAGUACAUGCUAUAACAUUGUUGGUUAUAUCAUUCUUUCUCACCCUGGUUACAGUUUUCCAGUUCACCAUAGCCAAGUCAAUGGUGUAAUUCAGGUUAUACGAGGCCACCCAUUUUGGGCUGGUACUGUCACCAUAUGUUACGAAAAAGUCGAGCUCAUACAGUCUUCCUAAGUCCACUUGAAGAUAAUGGUUGUCAUUUGAGACAGGAGCACACCAAGAACUACCACUAGAUAUUCUUGCAUCAGAAGCACUGUGACCUUCUGAAGAAGCAGAAGCACUGAAUGAUGAAUCGGGAA